GACGUAGGGCGCGAGCGUUGUCCGGAUUUAUUGGGCGUAAAGAGCUCGUAGGCGGCUCGUCGCGUCGACCGUGAAAACCCGCGGCUUAACUGCGGGCUUGCGGUUGAUUCGGGCGGGCUAGAGUUCGGUAGGGGAGACUGGAAUUCCUGGUGUAGCGGUGAAAUGCGCAGAUAUCAGGAGGAACACCGGUGGCGAAGGCGGGUCUCUGGGCCGAUACUGACGCUGAGGAGCGAAAGCGUGGGGAGCGAACAGG
Molecule: ribosomal RNA, 253 nt
Filed under: uncultured bacterium
Lineage: Bacteria
Description: partial 16S ribosomal RNA
Rfam family: Bacterial small subunit ribosomal RNA
Source: RNAcentral